ACAAUUGAGUACGGGGAGCCCGGUGAACCGGGCUGAGAGGAGGACAACCAGUCCUCGACCCUUAUAACCUGAUCCGGAUAAUGCCGGCGGAGGGAAGUCGAGAGCAAAAUGU
This 112-nucleotide non-coding RNA is filed under the name Longilinea arvoryzae. RNAcentral describes it as "TPP sequence". It matches the Rfam family "TPP riboswitch aptamer (THI element)". From Rfam's summary of the family: Vitamin B(1) in its active form thiamin pyrophosphate (TPP) is an essential coenzyme that is synthesised by coupling of pyrimidine and thiazole moieties in bacteria. Lineage: Bacteria; Bacillati; Chloroflexota; Anaerolineae; Anaerolineales; Anaerolineaceae. The record is from Rfam by way of RNAcentral.